Molecule: ribosomal RNA, 434 nt
Filed under: uncultured bacterium
Lineage: Bacteria
Description: bacterial SSU rRNA
Rfam family: Bacterial small subunit ribosomal RNA
Source: RNAcentral
ACUCCUACGGGAGGCAGCAGUGGGGAAUAUUGGACAAUGGGCGAAAGCCUGAUCCAGCAAUGCCGCGUGAGUGAUGAAGGCCCUAGGGGUUGUAAAGCUCUUUUACCCGGGAUGAUAAUGACAGUACCGGGAGAAUAAGCCCCGGCUAACUCCGUGCCAGCAGCCGCGGUAAUACGGAGGGGGCUAGCGUUGUUCGGAAUUACUGGGCGUAAAGCGCACGUAGGCGGUCUUUUUAAGUCAGAGGUGAAAGCCCGGGGCUCAACCCCGGAAUUGCCUUUGAGACUGGAAAGCUAGAACACGGGGAGAGGUGAGUGGAAUUCCGAGUGUAGAGGUGAAAUUCGUAGAUAUUCGGAAGAACACCAGUGGCGAAGGCGGCUCACUGGACCGUUGUUGACGCUGAGGUGCGAAAGCGUGGGAGCAAACAGGAUUAGAUA